CUGUUCGAGCGUCAUUAUAACCACUCAAGCCUGGCUUGGUAUUGGAGUUCGCGGUUCCGCGGCCCCUAAAAUCAGUGGCGGUGCCGGUGGGCUCUAAGCGUAGUAAAUCUCCUCGCUAUAGGGUCCCCCCCGGUUUCUCGCCAGAACCCCCCAUUUUUCAGGUUGACCUCGGAUCAGGUAGGGAUACCCGCUGAACUUAA
Molecule: unclassified non-coding RNA, 200 nt
Filed under: soil metagenome
Description: partial contains internal transcribed spacer 2 and large subunit ribosomal RNA
Source: RNAcentral